Molecule: non-coding RNA, 3583 nt
Organism: Sturnus vulgaris (Common starling)
Lineage: Eukaryota; Metazoa; Chordata; Aves; Passeriformes; Sturnidae
Source: RefSeq, a predicted model, not a curated record
UGCAGUGUGUGUAUAUACACAACAUCAAGAGCAGGAAAAUGGACUCAUUAGGGAGGCAGGCAGUCAUUACCACUCACACUGUACUUCCAGGGAGACAGCGACUAUGAGGAGACAAACUGAGGACUGGGGAACAAGCAGCAUAAGAAAGAAGUGUUGAGAACUGCUCUUAACCCUUUUGGAGGUCGAAGUCAAAAGGAAACUAGAGGGCUUGACGCAUCCUUUACAUCCUGCAUUUACUCUGACCACAGUCCCUCCCUGUUCUCACAAGUGGAGCUCAGCCCUGCUUCCCUUCCUGUUGAUUCACAGUCAGCUACAUGUUUUGCAAGUCUGGAAGUCUAAAGACAUAUAUGUGUAUGUGUAUAAAAUAUAUGUAUAUAAAAAUAAUGUUGUUUAAAUAUUUACAUACAAAGCCAAAGGAUUGGCUUCCUUCCCAGAAUUACUGGAACUACCUUCCCCAGGAACAUUUGGACUUGAGAAAUCUCUACAGCAACACAUUUUUACUGAAACUAAACAACUUCUGAAACUGCCUGAAGUUACAUUGUAGAUGCUGAAAUCACUGCACCUUAAAAACAAAAAGAUUAAGCCACACUGCAUUCCUCAGUGGUUGGCAGUUUUCCUCAACUUUGCGAGAGAGAGAGAGAUUUUGUUGGAAUGAAACCUUGCUCUGCGUACAGCCUGCUUGAGAAGCAGCACUGAAAGAUUACUCACAAUCAGCUUGUGGCCUUUCUCCAGAGGAGUCUUUCCUUGUCUCUUGUUGCAGAAGAAAUUGGCACGAUGCCUUCUCCCCUACCCUGUGGGCAAAAAGAUGAGAUUUGUUGCAGCGGCUGCAAAACAUGAUAUGACAAUACCAGCUCUCAAGGAGACAUAUUUGAGUUGACCUAUCAUGCCUAUGGUGUCUCCAUAUUUCUUUCCCUGCUCCUUUGCCUUUCAUUAUAAUGUGUCCCAAAUCUGUAAUUUACAACAUGCUGCUCCGGUUUUGCUCUGAUAUAUUUGCUACAAAUAAGUAGGAGCUUAUGGAUGUCUAUAGCUGCCUGUGGCGGUGUCAGGCCUGCGAGAUGAGGGGAGCAUAGGCACCCACAGAAUGCAACAUGGCUUAUGCCUAAUGUGGCAUUUAUCUGACUCAGAAAGGCAAUUGAUUAGAGGCCCAUCGGACCUUUGGCAUCAUGUAUUAUGUAUUUAUCCGGCAGGGGCAGUUUAUAACAGCCUCUGACAAAUCCUAUUACUUUUGUUGCAGGACUUCAUAAUAUCAAUAAAAAGCAUUAAUGAUACUCAGGGAGGGGAAGUGUUAACACUGCUUGUGUUAAGGCUUCUCACAGCAGUGGCAAAACCAUUUAUGUCUGUGGCAGACACCAUGUGCCUUCAACAUUUGCACAAUGCACCAGUUUAGUGUUGUUCUACCUCUGCAGGGCAAGGCAGUUAGGUGGUAGCAGCAAGCUGGCUUUAUGAUAGGUAGGCAUGUGGAAACUUGAAGCUGAAAUACCUCUUCGACAGUGCUUUGCUGUGUGACAAUGCAUUUGUGGCUUUCCAUCUGUCUGCCUUUGUUUUUUGACAUGUGAGAUUAGAAUCCCAUGUUCACUUGCUUCUUUAAGUCAGGCUUAUUCCACGGCCAAGAAGGGCUUCUUGAUGCUCCUCCAUUCCUAAAUUAGCAAGCUCUGUAGGAGACCUACUAUAUUUCAGGCAUGUCUAGUCCUGUACUGGCUCUCCCCUUUUCUUCUGGAAGGCAGGUCCUUUGGGCCGUUGAUAGUCUGGGUUCUUUUUGGUAACAGAAAAAAAGUAAAUGGGACAUUUUCGCCUUAGAAGCUCUUAAUGUACCUGUACAUGUACAAGCAUGUUUCUGAUCUAGAUAACUGAUUUGUUCUGCCCUCUGUCUCAGUGUCCAGCACUGGGAUCUCUUUUCAUAUCCCUUCCCACAGCUUGCUGAUGAUUCAGUCAUCAUCCUUCUCCCAGAUGUUUCACACAUGUCUGCUUAAUUAUAUGGCAUCAGGGUUUUGAAGGUGGAAGGAUUUCAUAGAUCUCUCCCCCAGACUAUAUUCCCACUGAAGAAGAAUACAGUUAAUCUCUGCUCCCCUUGAAUAUCCUCAGGACUUUGAGAGACACUGGGAUUCUUUGUCAAAACCAUUAUUUUCAUGGAAGAAGUCUUCCAACCAGCCUGUAGCGGUAUUGACAUUACUGAGGUGCUUUACAGUAGGAGAGAUAGCUACACUAGGAUAAAUAGCUAUAGCAGGACACUUCUUACAAUUCUUUUACUUCCAGAGAACUACUUGUUCAGAUGGAACCCAUACAAUAUUGAAAAAUUACCUGCAAUUAGCGUUGGUAAGUGCAAAUCAGUAGCAGACCAAAGUUAUCCAGAUACAAGGAAGUUGCAGGACAUGUUAACCUAAUUCCGUGGAUAUCUGUCCAUCUUGUUUAAAUAGAUUUCUGGUGUAACCAGAUUGUACUGAGCUCCAGCAUCAUUCCUAUCAGACUUAGCACUGAUGCUAAUUCUUGGUAGUUGACAUGCUAGUUUAAAAACGGUUAAAAAAAAAAAAGAGAGAAAGAAAAAAGAAAAUAAGGAAAAAAGUGCAGAAAAGUACCAUUUAUUCCCCAACUUCAUGAAGAUGUAUUUGGUCAAGUAAUGAUGACCCAAGGGAAGCUGAGAGGCAUCUUACUGAUCUCAUCAUAGUUAUGAGAACCAUCCAUCAUAUGGUCAGUGAUUUGUAUGUCAAAAGACACCCGGCAGUAUUCCAGCCUACCAGUAGACAGCUUCUGAGAAUCCUUAUUGACUUUAUCAGACAUGAUGAUGCUCUUUGAUAUCUAUGUAUAUGUCCCUGCUUUGGUACUUGUUCCCCACCAAACUGUCGUCUGUUACCACUCUGAACCAUUAUCAUGAAAUAGCAACUCAUUAGCCCCCUCUGAAUCCCUUAGUCUGGUUCUGUGCUUAGUGUUGUUUUGCGAAUGAGGAACAACAACAGUGAUUGCUACAUCAGGAACAGGGAGAAGGCAUCUUUUCUCAGGUUUCUUAAGAAGCUCUCCCUUACUAGAGAAGAGGAUAACCUCCAGGUCAAGCUUAUUCAUUAAUCAGAAAUGAACAUUUUCAAAAUGCCAAUAAAGUCUACUUCAAUAAGCCUUACGUUUACAACAGCUUUCAAGAGUUAGCAUUUUUCAAGACUUAUCAUAAUUAAUGUAAUAAAUAGACACGCAAAUUAUCCAGAAGAAUCGGUUGGUCUCCUUCUGAAAAUAAGGAGGUUCAGGAAGCGAAUGGUCACCUAAACAGUAAUCUGAGACCGGAAAGGAAUAUUUUUUCCCCAGCUAUUAUAUGUCUCAUGAAGGAAGGGAAUGUUCCAAAAAAGAAAACAACAUGGGCGGAGGCAAAUGAGAGGAAUGGUGAAACAGCCUCAAAAUGACAGCAGAACUGAAAUUCUACUCUGGUAUAUUUAUAGAAAUGAAACCAUAUAACUGAGAGUACACCUUGGGAUGAAUGUUCUUGAGCAGUGACACAAUUUUAAGCUUUAUUCUUUAUCUGAAGAUGUAGCCAUCAAAUGAACUUAAGCAAUAGAUGUGCAUGGGAAAAAAAACCUCAUUAUUUAAAACAAAUCAGUCAAAG